GAUGAACGCUGGCGGCGUGCUUAACACAUGCAAGUCGAACGAAACACCUUAUUUGAUUUUCUUCGGAACUGAAGAUUUGGUGAUUGAGUGGCGGACGGGUGAGUAACGCGUGGGUAACCUGCCCUGUACAGGGGGAUAACAGUCAGAAAUGACUGCUAAUACCGCAUAAGACCACAGCACCGCAUGGUGCAGGGGUAAAAACUCCGGUGGUACAGGAUGGACCGGCGUCUGAUUAGCUGGUUGGUGAGGUAACGGCUCACCAAGGCGACGACCAGUAGCCGGCUAGAGAGAGUGAAUGGACACAUUGGGACUGAGCCACGGUCCAAACUCCUACGGGAGGCAGCAGUGGGGAAUAUUGCAACACGGGGGAAACCAUGAUGGAGCGCCGACGGGUGAGUGCAGAAGUAUGGCGGUAUGUAAAGCUUUAUCAGCAGGGAAGAACAUGACGGUACCUGAUCAAGAAGCCCCGGCUAACUACGUG
Molecule: ribosomal RNA, 481 nt
Filed under: uncultured bacterium
Lineage: Bacteria
Description: partial 16S ribosomal RNA
Rfam family: Bacterial small subunit ribosomal RNA
Source: RNAcentral